UCUAUUCCACAUGGAGUUAGUGCAUCCCAACCCAUUGGCAUUGUUGGAUCUGGAAAAAAUAUCGGAAUAGAAGAUGAUUUUAUGAAGCUCACACCUAGGUGUACUGUGAAGUCGCUUGAUGAUAACAAUCGGGUUGGAACUUUUGUUGUACUAGCGAAGAUAGCUGAAAUAGUUGAAGAUGGUCCUUGGUGGUACUCUGCUUGUAUGUGUGGCAGAGGUGUUCAGGCAGAAUCUGGGAUUUACUUUUGUCAAUUUUACAACAUCCAUGUUACAAAUGUGACUCUUAGGUAUAAAUAUUUUACAAUUCUUCCUUUGUGCUUUGUUAAAUAGUGAAUUAUUUCUGCGUAGUUGUUAACCUUAGGCCAGUAUUUAUGUGCAUCUUAAAAAAAUCCAGGUUUAGAGUGAAGGUGUUGGUUGAGGAUUCAACUAGUGUUUCUAUUUUUUUCCUCUUUGAUCGUGAGGCAAGUUACCUACUGAAUAAGACUUGUGCCCAGCUGUUUGAACAACAUCUUAAGGAUGUUGAUGUUGUGUUUGGCACACAGUCUCCUCCUAUAUUCCAAGAAAUUAUUGGAAAAAUUAU
Molecule: non-coding RNA, 580 nt
Organism: Arachis ipaensis
Lineage: Eukaryota; Viridiplantae; Streptophyta; Magnoliopsida; Fabales; Fabaceae
Source: RefSeq, a predicted model, not a curated record